GACGAACGCUGGCGGCGUGCUUAACACAUGCAAGUCGAACGGUAAGGCCCUUCGGAGUACACGAGUGGCGAACGGGUGAGUAACACGUGGGUGAUCUGCCCUGCACUUCGGGAUAAGCCUGGGAAACUGGGUCUAAUACCGGAUAGGACCCUGGGAUGCAUGUCCUGGGGUGGAAAGCUUUUGCGGUGUGGGAUGGGCCCGCGGCCUAUCAGCUUGUUGGUGGGGUGAUGGCCUACCAAGGCGACGACGGGUAGCCGGCCUGAGAGGGUGACCGGCCACACUGGGACUGAGAUACGGCCCAGACUCCUACGGGAGGCAGCAGUGGGGAAUAUUGCACAAUGGGCGCAAGCCUGAUGCAGCGACGCCGCGUGAGGGAUGACGGCCUUCGGGUUGUAAACCUCUUUCAGUACCGACGAAGCGCAAGUGACGGUAGGUGCAGAAGAAGGACCGGCCAACUACGUGCCAGCCGCCGCUGUAA
This 478-nucleotide ribosomal RNA is filed under the name uncultured bacterium. RNAcentral's name for it is "partial 16S ribosomal RNA". It matches the Rfam family "Bacterial small subunit ribosomal RNA", at positions 28 to 523 of the family's 1533-position model. The record is from RNAcentral.